This 66-nucleotide microRNA precursor is filed under the name Dendroctonus ponderosae (mountain pine beetle). RNAcentral's name for it is "mir-2 microRNA precursor family". It matches the Rfam family "mir-2 microRNA precursor family". From Rfam's summary of the family: The miRNAs are transcribed as ~70nt precursors (modelled here) and subsequently processed by the Dicer enzyme to give a ~22nt product. In this case the mature sequence comes from the 3' arm of the precursor. Lineage: Eukaryota; Metazoa; Arthropoda; Insecta; Coleoptera; Curculionidae. The record is from Rfam by way of RNAcentral.
GCGCUUAUCAACUGGAUGUGAAAUGCAUUUAUGAAGACAUAUCACAGCCAGCUUUGAUGAGCGUGA